UGGUGUCUGUACUGCCUUACCACUUCGAGCUCGAUCCAGAGAGUUCAGAAGGCCGUUACGAUAUAAACGAUCUCCGUCAAUGAACGCGAUUGGAUUUAACUUUUUUAGGUGUCCUUAGCUCUGCCAGAAUGCUAAACGAAGACGAAAAUGUGUUGCAAAGACAUCCAAAAGGUUUUAAGGAGAAUGCAACAGGUUCCAGGGCCUCUUACCUGCGUGAUUCAUCAUCCAGGUUUUGCACAAAUUGUCUAAAUCCCUACACACAGAACAUUUAUUGUACCGACUAUAAGCCUUUGAGGCGCAGGACUAGAAUAUGCUUGGAGCUUCCUGAUCGGAAUGUUGGCUUUCGACGACCCCUGCACUGAAGAUGGCAUGCAAUCACGUCCUCCUUUGAAGGUCUCUCAAACUGUGAUGCCAGGUCCAUUGGAAUCGGGGUUUCCUUCAGCUUAUCUUCAAAUACCUCAGCAAACACAAGCCUGAUCACAUCCUCCACAUAACUGUAGAAAUAUUGCAGUCAAUAAAUCUUUUGUUUUGAUCA
Molecule: long non-coding RNA, 535 nt
Organism: Paramisgurnus dabryanus
Lineage: Eukaryota; Metazoa; Chordata; Actinopteri; Cypriniformes; Cobitidae
Source: RefSeq, a predicted model, not a curated record